UACGGAGGGAGCUAGCGUUGUUCGGAAUUACUGGGCGUAAAGCGCACGUAGGCGGCUUUUUAAGUCAGGGGUGAAAUCCCGGGGCUCAACCCCGGAACUGCCCUUGAAACUGGGAAGCUAGAAUCUUGGAGAGGCGAAUGGAAUUCCGAGUGUAGAGGUGAAAUUCGUAGAUAUUCGGAAGAACACCAGUGGCGAAGGCGAGUCGCUGGACAAGUAUUGACGCUGAGGUGCGAAGGCGUGGGGAGCAAACAGC
RNAcentral lists this ribosomal RNA (253 nucleotides) under uncultured bacterium. RNAcentral's name for it is "partial 16S ribosomal RNA". It matches the Rfam family "Bacterial small subunit ribosomal RNA", at positions 524 to 776 of the family's 1533-position model. The record is from RNAcentral.